Molecule: long non-coding RNA, 20742 nt
Filed under: Gossypium barbadense (sea-island cotton)
Lineage: Eukaryota; Viridiplantae; Streptophyta; Magnoliopsida; Malvales; Malvaceae
Description: long non-coding RNA (GBAR_LNC019625)
Source: RNAcentral
GGCACUUUGCAGAGCAGAUGUUAAGCUAGAUGUUUGCACUGGUUGUUUAAGUGAAACUAUAUCAAGGGUCAAGCUGGAUUGUCCUAACAACAAAGAAGCCAUCGGAUGGUCUGCGGAUUGCACGUUACGGUACUCGAACACAAACCUCUCCGAGAAGUUGGAAAUUAAUCCUCAAACCUGUCUAUAUAAUACAGGAUCUACGGUUGAUGAGUACUUCCAGCUCAGACUCGGAGAAUUGUUGAGUGACCUGCGUAAUAAAGCAGCAUCAGGGGGUGCUCUUCUUAAAUAUGCAGCAGGUAACUCGUCGCUCAGGGCUUCGGAAAGGUUAUACGCUCUAGUGCAGUGCACUCCUGAUUUGUCUGAGGGAGACUGCAAUCAUUGUCUUGAUAAGGCGGCAACCAACGGGAUUCUGCGGUGUUGCCUUAAGCAGAGGGGAUGCCGGGUUCUUAGUCCUAGCUGUAACUUGAGGUUCGAAACAUAUCCCUUUGUUGAAGCCGGAGUGGAGUUUCCACCACCCCCGUCACCCUCGGGCGAUCGGCAAAAAGAAGGUACGACAAUUUUCCUUCCACUGUCACUUCUUCCAACCACCUGUUAGCACAGCUUCACUUUGGAGGCACUAUAUUAGCCUAUCACUCUUGUUGAAUCGAGAAAAUCUGAUUCUGCCCUUAUAUAAUUAGAAGAGGAACCAAACAAAUCAAAAAGGACGCCAGUACUUGUUGCAAGUUUAUCAGUGAUAUUUGGGGUAGCUGUGGUUUCUAUCUCAGGUUUCUUAAUCUGGAAGAGGAGAAACAAUCAAGGUAUGCAGUGGCAAACAUUACAAAUUUGUUUUGUAUUGUUAUAUUGAUCACUUUCUUACUUUCUUCUUUUAUUAAUUUCAGAUACAGAGUACAGAGAAAUUCAAUUACUUGACUUGGUAGAGGGAAGAAUUGAUAUGUGAGAAUCAAGUUUGUAACGUUAGGUAUAAUUAAUAAAUGAAUUCUUUCGGGGAACACUAGCGGAUGGUAAACAACUGCAGUUAAAAGGCUAUCAAGAACCUCCGAUCAAAAGCUUGUUGAGUUCAAAAAUGAAAUCAUGUGCUUUUUUCCUUCUUUUUUUCCCUACUAAGCUACAAUUUUAGGUAUGGAAGCUCUUAUCUGAAUACAGCUAAUAGAUAAGUUCCUUACUCCGUCGAGUGUAAUUUUUGAGGUGCUUAAAUGCAUUUUGGGUUAUUGUACAUGCAAGAAAAUCUGCUACUCAGUCUAAUCAAAUCAUCUCUUAUUGUCAUGUUCGCAACCGAUACCGUAAAACUUUCUCGUGCAAUUAAACCAACAUCCUUUUUGGGCAUAUCAUUGCGGAAUCAAUCAAACACAUUUCAAAUGAUGAAUUUUUUUAUUAUUAUUAAAAAUUUUCACCUCGCUGAUUUGAUCACUAUUUUAAUUUUAAGAUUAUAUAUUUGAAUGUAAAAAUUAGUAUAAAGCCGAUAACUAAUCAAUUUAUGAAUAUUAUUUUUAAUGUGUGGAAGCACCUUAAUUAGUAAACAAAGUUCAAACUUGCAUCAAAUUAUACUCCCAAAAAUAUACAAAAUUUAGCUACCCUUUCUUCUUUCAAUCCGCUCUGCUGGACUUGUAUUAGGGAUGAGCAAAACUUGAUUUAAUUUGAAAAAAUAAAAAAAUUUCAAAUUUCGAAUUAAUCGAAUCGAGUUAUUCGAGUUAUUCAAUUUUUUUGAGUCAAGUUAAAUAAGUAGUUUGAGUUUCAAGUUCAAGUCGAGUUGAAUUUUAUAAUUCGAAUAACUAGAAUAAUUUAAUAACAUUUUGGUAUAACUGCUCCUUUAGUCCCCGUCAAGUUUAAAAAUGAGCAAAUCAGUCUCUCUCUUAACAAAAAUUACAAAAAUUUCAAAAUAAUUUUUAAAAUUCAAAACAUUUAUAAAAAUUUCAAACUUUAUAUUUUUUUAAAGAAUUGUAAAAAAAAUUUGUAAAAAAAUUCUAAAUAAUAUAUAAAGAAAGUUACAAUUUUGAAAUUUUCUAAAAUAAUAAUUUUAGGGACUUAAAUAAUUUAAUUAAUCAUUCAAGUUUAUCAUAGUAAAAUAUCUUUUCUUUUUUCUUUUUUUUCUUUAAAUUUUUUUAAAUAUAUACAGUUUCAAAUUUACGUGCUCAAACAUGAUAUUAGUUAUAUUGUAAUAAUAUUUUAAUUUGACAUGAUUAAUUUUUUAAUUUAGCUCGAACAAUUUCACUCGAUUUGACUCGACCUAAAUUUCAUUUCACGCGACUCGAUUUAAAAAAAUUCAAAUCAUAUUAAGAUGAUAAAAUAGGACUUCUCAACUUGAUUAACUCAAAAUUUUUUCACUUCAUUUGAUUGAACCUUCUUCCUUAUUUACGUCGCAAUUAGAAAACAUAUAGUAGCAAGGAAGAGUUCAAUUUUUAUACGAAAAAUAAAAUUUCAAAAAGUUACAUGUGCUUUUUUUAUAAAUAUACUCUAAAAAGGGUUAAUCUAAAUUAUAAAAUCUAAAAAUUUAUUUGAUAAUGGAUCCAAUAAUGAAUAAUUUCUCUACCACCGAAUUGAACAUUGCAUUUCAGUUUUAAAAUCUAUUCUAAUCAAAGAAACCAAAUUAACUUGACUUUGAAGAAAUCAAGCCAAGUCCUACACCAUAAAUAGGCAGUCUGAUAAUUGGGUAUAUAUGCACUAAAGAUAACCAAGAAAAAUGAGACACGUUCCUACCAUGUCCUUUCAAAAUGUCUUUAAAUUCUACCCGUAUAUUUUUCCACAACUUGCAUCGCCAUUUUAUGAGAGAUCCAUCAAUUACAGACAAAAACAUAAAGGAACCCAAAGGCCAAGUCUUAUAAACUUGUCGUUAUUAGCUGUACCAGAAAAAACAACCUUGUUUGUCUAAUACAAUUCCAACUUGCAUGUUUUGUAUCCUCAUAUUCUAAUUUCUGUAGAGGAUUUUUUAUGGAAAAAAGGAAUUUUAUAAGUGAAACGGAAUGCAACAAAAGACGAUGAAAAGGAAGAUUAGAAUAGAUAUUUCAUAACAUAGAUGAUAGCUUAUAAGGUGGAGAAAAAUUACUAAGUGUGGCUGUAGGUACAAGGGUAAUAAAGUUGCACAUUAAAUAGGAGUAAUAAGAGGCAUUUUUACUAAUAAAGAAUUUAGGUCUUGUAUAAUAGUGAAUAAUCCAUUUUAAAAAAAAAAUGGAAGAUGUAUUUAAUGUUACAAGAAAAGGUUAACAUGUAACAUUUAACUAUUGAUAGAAGUUCUUGUGCUUUAAGUUUCUUUGUUGAAGAUAUAUGGAUUGACUUAUUACACCAACCUAAGUUCUCCAAAAUUUCAAAAUGGUAAAGAUAAUCGAAGAAUCUUAUCAUAUUCUUGUCGAGUAAUAUUUUAUCAUGUCUUAUUGAUAAGAGUGUUCGAGUAUUUAUACAUGUUGUUACAAAAGCUAUUACAGCUCAUGAUAGGGCCCCACUAUUUUAACUUGACUCAACUGCCUCUAGUACUGAUACUUUCUAUCCCUAGUACUGACAUUCUUUGUAAGCUCCAGGUUUGUUGGGCACGUGUCUAUGGAGCACACGAUCCUUUCUGUUCCUGGGACUAACAUUCUAGGCGGGCUCCGUACCUACUGGACUCGUGCCUAGGUGGCCUACGGAGCACACGGCCCUUUCUGCGAGCUCCCUAAGUCCUCGCGAGUUGGAUCUGUGGCCUUGCGUUACAAGAUGGGUCCUUGGCUUUGCCUUGCGAGUUGAGUUCACGAGCUCGUUCUGCGAGCAGGGUGAGCUAACUCCCCUUGCUAUCCUCUCGUGGCUCGCUUCGCACCCAAUCUUUUGGUGGGACCUAUCCGGGUCACAGGUAGGUGACCCAGAUCCUAUCUAGGACUCAGGUUGAUGAUCACCAAUGUAUAACAAUUCUAAUGUUAUUUUCAUAACUAUUUUAAUUAAGUAGUAUAAUGUGAAACAUUUUUUGCAUAUCAUCUCUUAGAACAUGAGUUGUUUUUGUAAAAGAUUUGUUCUUAAAUAAGGUUGUUUUCAAAUAAGAAUUGUUCUAAUAUAUUCUGAUCAUGAAUUUUCUCAAUUAAUUAUUAUUGACAGGUUGUUCCUAACAAUAGGUGUUUUGAAUAUAAUUAUUCUUAAAUUUCAAUUAUUCUAAAUAAGAGUUGUUUUAAAUAUUAAUUAUUCUUAACAAGAGCUAUUCUCAAACAAUUACUAUUAUAGGCAUCAACAGUUGUGAACAUAAUAGUUAUUCUAGAGCAACGGUUGAUUUGAGUGGUGAUUAUUCUAAACAAAAGUUACUCUUCAGAUAAAAAUAUUUAAAAAGAAAACAAUAGAAGUGAUUAGAAUAUAUUUAUCUCGAAGUUGAAUUUAUGUGAAUCAAACCUACUCAAACCUUAAACAACUUAAACUCAAUAUGACUCCAAUGAGUAACUUAAAAAUACUAAAAUCUCAACGAAUAAACCUAAAAUGAUCCGAACCCAUAUUAAUGAAAUCCAAAAUUAAUCCUAAACAAAUAAUUUAAAAUUUUUAACUGGAAGCAACAGAACCUGACAGAUCUACCUCAAAGUAAAACUCAUUUCAAAGUGAGACAAAUUAGAUUAUUACUUGCAGUCUUGCAUACUACAGUCCUUAUAUAUAUAUGUCAGAUGUUUUAGGUAAUCUGUGACAAUGGAGUUCUUUCACUGUCUUGGACGUAGAUGUAGCCAACUGCCACAUUGAAUAGUAUUUCACUUCCAUCCUCAUCUGGACCCAAACUCGUCAUCUUUGUAGACUAAGGCUUAGUUUGGAUAGGCGGUGUGUUUACCUCCAGUGAGGUUAAAAACAGCGGUGGCGGUGAGAUUAGUUACUGUAGCAGUGAGAUUGGAUAUUGUAGCGGUGAGAUUAAAAACAAUGGUGGAGUGUGUGUUUGGAUUCAAACGCAGCUAUAGCGGUGAGAUAAGAAUAAAAAAUGACUAUUAAUGACAUCAGAUUAGAAUUGAUAUAUAAUAGAAGUUUUUAAAUUAUUUUACUUUUUUAAAAUUAUUAAAAUAUGUGAAUUUAUAAAUUAAAUUAAUAAAAUAUUAAAAUGUAUCUUCCAAUAUUUUAAUGAAUUAUAUAAUUAAUUUAAAUUAUUUAUUAGACAAAAUGAUAAUUAUUUUUAAUUUUUUAAAGUUAAAUAUUUUUUAUAACAAUGAUAAAUAUUAUUUUCAUAAAUAGUAACAUUAUACUUAGAUCAAAUUUUGAAGUAUCUAAAUAGAUGAUUUUUAAUUAAAAAAAUAUAAUAACAUAAGACAUAACAAGUUUCAUUAUUACUAGAAAUUUUUAAUUAUAAAUAAUUUAAAAUAAUAAAUAAUUUUUAAUUUUUAAUUAUAAAAAAUACUUAUUAAAUUUAAUAUGAAGAUUGUAUAUAUUAAAUUAAUAAUAUUAUUUGAAAUUCUUAAAUAGAAAAUUAGAUGUAAAAGGAUAAAAGAAAAAGUAAAAAGCAUGGAUGAAAAGGUACUUUCCAUCUUUCAAAUGGAGUUGCAAAUUCUCACUGCAUGUAGAACCUCCAGUGGCGCCACUGAUACUACAGCAUGAUGAGAAGACUCCAGUGCGGCAAUGGGUAAAAUCCAAACACCAAUAUCAGUGCGAUUGAUUUCAAAAAAAUGGUCUAAACGCACUGAAACGGGAGAUUUUUUGUAUCCAAAGAUAGCCUAAGGCUCCCUUUGGUUUGGCUUUUACAGCCAAUGAGGUGCAGUUGGGGAGAAAAAAUGGUGCCAAUCUCACUGCUAUGCUGUUUGGUUCAGCAAGUCAGUGCAGUGAGAUUGCAUCUCCACCACACUGCUCAGCUGAAAAUCAGCUGGUGAUUUCAGCAGCAAUGAAGGUGCAGUGAGCUAUUGGUACUUUAACUCUCCAAAAAUACCCUUACUUUAACUCUCCAUAUCUUCCCUCCUCCUACCAUGCUUCUCCUUCUUCAAUUUGUGCAACCAGUUCACUUCACAAAGCUACAGGUAAGUCAUUCAUCUGCUGCUGCAACUUCUGCUGCUGCAACUUCUGCCAUUUUCAACCAUGUUUGGUUGUGGUUGUGGUAGUGGACUUUUGUGGACUUUUCAACCAUUUUCAACUUCUGCCACUACCAAUCUUCUGCAACUUAUGCCAUUUCUCUGUAACAAAGGUGCACCGGAAACUUGAAGAAGAUGAUAGAUGGAUAGAACAAGAGAUAUAUAAUCGAUAUAAUAGAUGGACAGAACAAGAUGAUAGAUGGACAGUGUUAGAAUUGUGUGACCCAAAUUCUAAGAGAUUGCUUGCAAGUCAAGUUAAACAAAAAUAUAUUUUCUUUCUAGAAGAUUUAGUAUUUAUUAGUAUAAUAUAUUUAGCAUUUAUUAGUAUAGUUUAUUUGACUUACUAAUUUAGCCUAUAAAUAGGCUCUUUUACAAUCUUAGAAAUGAGACACACCCAUUAGAUUAGAACUCAUAACACAUUCAGAGAAUUUUGUGUUUACGUUUUCGGGUUCUUUGUUUUUCGGAUUUUCGAGUUUAGUUUUUAUCUCCAUCUUUUGUACUCUUCAUUCUUUUGCCAUUAUAGUAAAAUUAUCUUUGCCCGUGGUUUUUUAUCCUCUUUGGAGGGGUUUUUCCACGUUAAAUUUGUGUGUUCAUCUUCUCAAUUUCUUCUGUUAUUUGUACUUGUUUGUUGCUUAAUCGGGACGAUCCUAACAGACAGAAACCUGAAGAAGAUGAUAGAUGAAGAUGAUAGAGGUGUUAACUUUGCAAUACAACUACAACAUUUCUAUGAUGGGUUGGAUGGACAGAACAAGCGACAAUUUGAUUUUAUAGCUAGAGGGAGUAUUUGGUUAAAAAUAGGAAGAUAAAUAAUCGAUAUAUUGGAAAAUGUCAGCAAGAAUGAGCUUACAUGGGGCAUAAACCAAGAGAUAUAAAACGCUAACCUAGCAGAAUGUACACUCCAAAAGUAAACAUCUUAUAACCUGGAAUUAGGAACAUUAGAUUUUGUUGAGCCUAAUAAAGAUGAACCAGAGGAGGAAAGUAUGAAUAAUGCAGAACAAGAGAAAAACGAGCUAGCCUUUCAACUUGACUGGUGGUGUAAAAGUAAAGAAUAUCCAAAACAGGUAAUUCCAACCAUAACUAAAAUGGUUCCUUUUAUUAUUAAAACACCUAAAUUGGAAUUGAAACCACUGCUUGAACACUUGAAGUAUGAGAUGUUUGGGAGAAAAGAACACCUUGCCAGUAAUUACAUACAAGGAGUAUGUAAAAAUAACUUUUUCAAAAAAUAUUAAUAAAUAAUUUAAAUUAAUUAUAUAAUUUAUUAAAAUAUUAGAAGAUAUAUUUCAAUAUUUUAUUAAAUGAAUUUAUAAAUUCACAUAUUUUAAUAAUUAAAAAAAAGUAAAAUAAUUUUAAAAACUUCUAUUAUAUAUCAAUUCUAAUAUGAUGUCUUUAAUAGCAAUUUCUUAUCCUCAACUCACCGCUACAGUGCGUUUGAAUCUAAACACACACUCUACCAUUGUUUCUAAUUUCAUCGCUACAGCAUCCAAUCUCACCGCUACAGUAAUUAAUCUCACUGCCACCGCUGUUUUUAACCUCACCGGAGCUAAACACACCGCCCAUCCAAACUAAGCCUAAAUCAUAUACGCAAACAAUCCAAAAAUCUAUUGACUUGACUCAUAUUUUUUAUUAAGGAUCAGAUAAUCUUCUACGAUGGACCAAAACUUUAUCCCUUACUAAAAGCACCCAUAUCAUAAAUUUCAUAAUAUAGCUGAGCUCUCUCGUCUUAUGAUCCAAACAAGGAGGUAAAGCCAAAAAAAAAAAGAAAUGCAGAGCUCCACAGUUUUCAUAACCCUGUGGCUGUUAUUAAUAGUCUUUUCCGUGCUUAGCCCUGAAACUGAAGCUCAGCCGCCCACUUAUCGCUACCACGUUUGUCCUAACACCACCACUUUCCUCAUAAAUAGCACUUACCAAGCCAACCGUGAUACCCUCUUAACUUCUCUAUCGUCUAAUGGCAGCCGUGGUAAUGGUUUCUACAACACAACUUCAGGCAGAAACCCCGACACGGUUUACGGUCUUUUCCUCUGCCGUGGGGAUCUUUCUACCAGCGUUUGUCAAGCGUGUGUCACCUUCGCCUCUACAGACAUUUCCCGACGUUGUCCUGUUGAAAUAGCAGCGGUGGUUUGGUACGACGAGUGCCUCCUACGAUACUCGGACGAAAAUAUAUUUUCCGCCGUGGCUGAAGAACCUGCAAUUGUAUUGUUUAAUACUAAGAAUGCAACUGGGACAGAAAUCCCUUUCGACCAGCUAGUGGCUGCCACAGUUGUUAUGAACAUGAACGAUAUAACAACCCAAACGGAAAAUAAACCCGCAGGUUCUAAAAAAUUUGCGACAAGAGAGACCAAACUUUCAAGUUUUCAAACACUGUACACGCUCGCCCAGUGUACACCGGACUUAUCAGGCAGUGGUUGCAGUAGAUGUCUGCAAGGAGCACGAGAAAAUCUUCCAAAUGGAUGGCAAGGCGGAAGAGUGUUGAGUCCUAGCUGCAACGUCAGAUAUGAAACUUACCCCUUCUAUAAUCUAGCGGCUGUUUCACCUCAACCUCCUCCAGCACCAGGUUUAUCCUCACUGUUAAUUGAUAAAUUUGAUUCUUUCCUUUUUCCUUUUUUAUAGUUCAUGAAAAAAAGAAAACAAGAUUCACUACAUUCUCUUUUCUUUUUUCUUUUUGGUCGGUAAUUUGUAAAUUAAUAUAUAGGUAAAGAACAAGCCCCUGUUUUCAUGAGGAUUAGAAUGAACUGAAUUGAGAAUAUCUAAUUCUGCUCUUAUUUAAUUAGAAGAAGAGAAACAAAACAAAUCAAACCGGAUUCCAGUACUUGUUGCAAGUUUAUCAGCAAUUUUUGGGCUGGCUGUGGUUUUUAUCUCUGCUUUCUUCAUCUGGAGGAGGAGAAACAGUAGAGGUACACAUCGGAGUGAUCUUUCUGGCAAGUAUUAUAACUUCUUUUUAUAUUCUUAUGCUGAUCAUAUUAUGAUUUUAUUACAGACGAAGAAAACAGCCAAGAAGUUCAAUUACUUGGCUUGGUAAAUGAGCACUCAAGGGAAACUUUUAACGGAGAAAAUGGGGAGAGAUCUCAGGAGUUUCCUUCUAUACGGUUGGAUGUUUUACAUGCAGCUACAAAUCACUUUUUUGAUGAAAAUAAGCUGGGACAGGGUGGAUUUGGUCCUGUAUACAAAGUUAUUAUAUAACUUGAAACUUUUAUGUGAGUUGGCUUUAGAACUGAUGUAUGCGAAUUAAGUAUGUGAAUACUCCUGCAUUUGAAUUUUGAUAUGCUAUGUAAAUGAAUGAAUUCUUCCAGGGAACAUUAGCAGAUGGUAAAGAAAUUGCAGUUAAAAGGCUGUCAGAAACUUCCAGUCAAGGGCUUGUUGAAUUCAAGAAUGAAAUCAUGUUAAUUGCUAAACUACAACAUAGAAAUCUUGUGAGGCUCUUAGGAUGUUGCUUAGAGAAAAAUGAGAAGUUGCUUGUAUAUGAAUUCAUGCCCAACAAAAGCCUGGACGUUUUCCUAUUCGGUUUGAUUCUUGAACCUUUAACUAAUAAGAAAAAAAACAUGAAACAAUUAAUGAAAAUGUACUCAUUUGUUUAUUUUUUAUUCUUUUUUUCCACAUUUAUAUCAGAUUCGAAAUUAGCUGCUCAACUGGAUUGGCAGAAACGAUUCAACAUUAUUAAAGGAAUUGCUCGAGGUAUUUUAUAUCUACAUGAAGAUUCUCGUCUAAAAAUUAUACAUAGAGACCUUAAAGCAAGUAAUGUUCUACUCGAUCAUGAGAUGAAUCCAAAAAUUUCUGAUUUUGGUAUGGCAAGAAUUUUUGAAGAUAAAAACGAAGCAAAUACCAAUAGAGUCGUUGGAACAUAGUAAGUAUGCAUAUUUUCAUGACACAUUCCUUUACAGUGAGAGGCUUAUGGGAAUAUUUUUAUUUAAUUAUUUUCUUUGUUUAUAAAAUUUUCUAUGAUAUCAUCUAAUUUUAUUUUAAUAAAUUGUCUCUUUAUUUCUUAUGAAUUAAAAUAGUGGAUAUAUGGCACCAGAAUAUGCUAUGGAAGGACUCUUUUCUAUCAAAUCUGAUGUUUUCAGUUUUGGAGUCCUUUUGUUGGAGAUUAUUAGUGGACAAAAGAACAAUGGUUUUCAUCAUUUAGAGCAUGGUGAAAGCUUGUUGACUUUUGUAUGUUCUUUAUCCUCCCUUUUGUCCUCAAACUAUAGAUUAAAUGUUUUAACCAUUCUACGAAUAAUUUUAAGCUACAAUUGUAGGCAUGGAAAUUAUGGUCCAAGGGCGAAGGAAUGGAGCUAAUAGAUCAGGUCCUUGUUCCUUCAUGUGUGGCUUUUGAGGUGCUUAAAUGCAUUCAUAUCGGGCUAUUAUGUGUGCAAGAAGACCCGGCAGAUAGACCAACCAUGUCAUCUGUGAUUUUCAUGUUGGCAAGUGAUAGUACCAUAACACUUCUUUGUCCAUCUGAACCAGCAUUUUCCGUUGGGCGUGCAAUUACAAAACCAGCUGAACCUAUUUCAGAUGAUGGAGUCUUUUCGGUUAAUGAGGUCACAAUUUCAAAUUUCUCACCUCGCUAAUUUGAUUGUUGUACUAACAAUACUAGUUUAUCAAAAAACUUUCAUUUUUAUUUCCCAGUCUAAAUUAACAACUAUGAAUACUAAAGCCAUGAUUUGUAAGAACUUGAACCUGAAACUAUAUAUACAUAUAUUUGAAUUUUAAAUUGAGUAUCAAGUUGGUGAUAAAUCAAUUUAAGAAUAUUAAUUUUUUACUCAAAAUUUUUAAUGUAUCGUGUCGAAACCACUUUUUGAAACAAAAAUUUAGUUGUCCGACUUUGAAAAUGAAAAUGGGAGUCGCCACCGAUCAUUUAUUGAGGUGUGAUCGGCUCACCUUGAAAAUGAUUUUGGUCUGCAAAUUUUGAGAAAACAGGUUCGGGAGUCGAUUACGCACGAGGAAAUGUUAGCACCCUCGUAACGCCCAAAAUUGGUACCUAAUUGAUUGUUUAAUGUCUUAGUGUCGAAAAUUUGAAAAGAUUUUAAAAUACGAUUCUUUUAACUUGAAUAAAUUGAAUAAUAAAACACUCUUAUUUCAAAUAAAUAAAAUGUCACACCCAGUGAGUUAGGGCGCAGCAUUUUUAAUCUUUUGACUUUUAAAACUCAUGCAUGUUGAGAAGGAUAUUUGGUUGUUUGGGUCAAAUAAAAAAUCAAAAUCCAGUAAGUUAGGGUUCAAUUUCCCAAAAUUCCUAAAUACCGCAUAUUGCUUUUAUUUUUAGAAGAAUCCUCAUCUCGAGAAAACAACAUGUCAUAUCCAAUGCGUUAGAACACAACGUAUCGAAUUCCCGAGAAUGAGCUUUUUUUAUUUAUGUGUUUUGAUUAAAGCAUAUCCUCGAUUAUUUAGAUUCAACGAGGAAAAUUAGAACCCAAUACAUUAGGGCUCAAUCUUCUCGAAGAUCCCAAAUGGCGAGUAUUACGUUAUCAUGAAAGUUUUGAAUAAAAUGAUUUUAAUAUUUAAAUGAAACAUAAUCUUAAAAUACAUGCAAAUGAACUCGAAUAAUCUAUCAACACAAACGAAAUGAUAUAAUGUACACGAUAUUACAUAAAAAAAAUUAAAAAGAAGUAAUAACUAACGUGAAGAUUUGAAAUAUUUAAAAAUAAAACUUGAGAUGAAUACUACAUGAAAUAAUAUUUAAAUGAAUUUUAAAAUGAAUAUUGCAUGAAAAGAAAACCAAAAUACGUGAAACGAUAUAUACACGUUAAUUUAGAUAAAUGUUACAUAUGGAUUGGAAGAUUUCCUACAAUGAUAUAUGUAUAUUAAUAUGUAUAAAAAAAUUGAUGUAAAUCAAGUAUAUAAUAGGAUAAUGUUUUAAAUGAAGCAAAUUAUGUAUGUAAUAAGUAGAGGAUAUGUAAAUGUGAAAUCGAUGAUAUGUUAAUAAUCAAAGAUAAUUUAAUACAAAUUAUAAAUUUAUAUAUGUAUUAAAAUAACAUUAUAUAAAAACAUUAUUGGUUUUUAAAGCAUAAAAAUAUGCAUACAUAAAAAUUUUAGAGCAGAUAUAUUAUAAAAAUAAAUCAUAAAAAAUAUCUGGAUAAUAUUAGAUUAACAUAGAAAUAUAUAUAUAUAUUAGAUAAGAAAAGAAUUAAAAUAACUUUGUAUAAUAAAAUAAAAUAUUGUACAUAUGUAGAAAUAAAUAAACAUGUAAACUAACAUAAUAGUAAUACCAAUAAUAAUAACAGUAACUAAGAAACUUAAAUAAUUUUAUAGCGACAAUAACAAAACAAAGGACUUAAUUGACAUUAAAACAGUAAUUCAGAGAGGAAAUCUAAAAUAAAUAAAAGGUUGGGACCAAAUUACAAAGCACGAAUAACAUGGGGGAUCAGAAUAAGAAAUAUCCUGUCUCCCAAAACGCUUCAUAGCAUAAUGGACCCAGAUGAAAUCAACAACAAAUUGUGUUGCUCAAAAUUAAAGAAAUUCAAAAGACCGAAUUGAAAUACAACACAAAAUGAGGACUUGGUUCCCAAUUACCCCUCCCCACACCAAACACGCGGAUCUAGCCGCAGUUGGACCGAGUCAUCAGGUAUAGCUCAAUACGACACCGUUUUGGUGCCAUCGAAGCAAGGCACAAACGGUGCCGUUUCAAUAAUAUGUAUUAAACAAAGAAAACUAAACCUAAGCAACCCUAAAGCCAUCCCUUCUGCGCCGCAUCAAAAAUCGAAAGCCCCCCAUCCAUUCAACUCCAAUCCGAACGGAGGGAUUCGGUGACGCACCAACCCCAAGUAUGAGUUCUUCCUUUUCUUUUCUAUUUUUCGUAUCAAAGAAAGAAAGAAGAAAAAAAAAGUGCAGUAGAAAGACGUAAAAAAAUGGUAAAUCACCUUCUUUGAUUUUUUUUAUUCAGUAUGUCUGUAUUCCAUCGUAAAAAAGGAGACCCUCAGUACAUCAAGAAAUCAGGCUUUUAUAGCCUAAAAAAAUGAAAAAAAACUCUAUUUUCUAUUUUCUUUUUCCCUUUCUUUUUUUCUGUUAUCUUUCCCUUUUUCUGUUAUUUGCUUUUCUUUGUUGUUGCUUGUGUGCGUUCGUUGCAAGUACAGCUGGCCUGGAGAAGACACGCGUGGAGGAGUCGGAGACUACUGGCACACGCGCGGACGAACCUAGUUUCCUAGUGCGGCUGCUGGAGCUGAAAGCUGUUGAAGGCUAGGGUUUCAAUUUGAAUCGGGCCAUGUAAACUGGGUUAGAGUAUUUUGGGCUCGGGUUUGAUGUAAUUUGGGUUAUCAGGCUUACAGCGUGUUUGGUUCGCCGUAUUACCCAAUCCAUUACGCCCCGAUUACGCGCGUAUUACAUUACGCCCCUAAUCCGGCGUUUGGUUCGCUGUAUUAGCCAUUACGCGCGUAUUACAUUACGCCCCUAAUCCCCAAAUUCCCGUGUUUUACAAUCCGUUCCCAAAUCGUUGUAUUAGCCAUUACGCCCGGCCUCCCUCCCCAUCUCUCUGUUUUACCCUCCCUCCCUACCCGACCCUCUCCUCUUCCGUCCUAAUCAUUUUCUCCUCCCAUUUCCCACUGAUUCCGUUGAUUAAUCUGUCGUCAUCGUUUCUUCUCGUCUCGGCAUCAAAUUUCCCUUCCCCAUUUCCUCCCAACACUAUCUGCUCCGCACACCAAAACCCUCUCUUUUUCUCUUCAAUAUAUUCACAAAAUUGGAAAUUCUAGCAGCAGCAGCAGCCAAAACAGUAACCAGCAGCAGCCCCUCUUUCUUCUCUUUCUUUCGAUUUCACACUUCUCAUAAAUGGAACAUUUCAAUCAGAAAAUGGAAAAGAGAAAUCAGUUGCAUGAGAAGGAAAAUUACUAAGGUUGUUGGUUUGCAUAUUUAACUGGGUUAAUCUUAGAAAUCUUGAGGGAGAAAACUUGUGACAUAAUGCAGACUAUUAGUUAGAACAGGAACUAUGUUUGGUGAUACCCUCUGAGAGUAGUAAUUUUUGGUAAUAGAGAGGAUGGUUAAGCAGUACAACUUUCGAUUAUGACUGCAGGAGGGUCUGACUAGGACAUUCAUUAAACAUUGGCUUAGGACUAAUAACUAUUUGUGUGCAAGAAGGUAGAAAUAUUUGUUAGUAAGACUUCUUAAAAAUUGGAUGUAGGGUUAAUAGUAUUAAGAAAACUGUAUUAGUUGUAUGUUUGGUGCCGCCCUGGUCUGUGAAUGGUGAUUUGCUCUUUAGGUGGGGAUUUUGAUGAUUACCUGAUUUUGGUUUAUGCCUGUUUUUGCAAGCAGCAUUUUGGCAUCUAUGUUGAAGCUAGUAGCCAAAAGAAUGGAGGUUUUAUGCUUGGUAGCAGUUUUGAGUAGUAUUGAAAAUUUUAGAAAGGGACAAAGAUAAACACAUACACACACAUCGUGUAGGUGCAAACCUAAGAAGAAGAAUGAAGUUCCUCUAGCAAGUAUCUUAGCCAAAUAAGUCCACAGAAGAAUGAGCCAUAGCUGUGUAGCCUUAUUUGGUACUUGGUCUUGCAACAAGGGCCUUCUUCUUAAUCUUCCAUGAUAAAGAUAGUUGUAGAGAUAUCUAUCAAUAUCUUGAGGGUGGCAGUGAGUGUUAUACAAUUGAUGACUAUUUAGGUUGAUCUGAUGUAUUUGAGAAGUAUGUCGUAAAUAAAAGUAAUAUGCUAUGUUUACAACUGAUGGGAAAUUUUGAAGUUCAGUGAUGUAAUGAGGUCGGAAAUUUCCAUGUCAAGAUAACCAUGUAGCAUUUCCAACUUUUUCUAUAACGUAUCAGCAACUAGGGCUGUUAUUCUUUUAUUUUAGUCAUAACCUUGGUGUUUGUUAUGGUCAUUGUAAUGUCAUUGCAAAGGCCGAUGCAUAAUUUGGCUCCUUUUAGAGUUUCUGAUUGUACCGGAUGCACAUCUGCCUUUGGAACCUCGAGUCAAAAUAAAAUGUUAUGAUCUUUUCUUGCCCUAGAUUAUUGAAACCUGUCCGGAUAACAUGAUUAACACCUACUUUUUAGAUGCUUUAAGCUUGAACAUGCUUUAUUGUUCUUUCAUAAAACCGCAAAUUUGUUGCUCAUGUCUCAGCAAUAGAUAUGAAAAAAUUUGGGACUUGUUUAUGUGUAAUUUCUUUUUCCUUUGAAAACUGUAAGUAUAACUCUUAAAAUUGCUUCUGUACCUCUAUGUUUGAAUCAUUGAAAUUGCAUUUGCUAAUUUUUGAACUCAUUGAUAUUCUCUUCAGUGGCUCUCUAAAAACAUUGGUAAGAAGGUGGAUAAGUCAGCUCUCUCUAAUGGAUCUGCAAUGACAGGUACACCGUUUAUUGUUCCAGGUUACUAUUAAUACUCAUCGGGCUAAUUUUUGUUUUCAUUUGUGCAGAUAAGAGUACAUCAGCACCAUCAGGUGUUCCGACUGCUUCUCUUAAAGUCCUUCGUCCAGAUACAUCUCAGAUGGUGAUUUAUGAUCCAAGGCAGCAUCAUGGUACAAGCUUUUGCUUGAGUAAAAAUAUAUGCCUGUGAUUUUUUCAAUGGUAUUCUAUUUUUUUAGCAACUUCAUUGGGCCACGAAUGGAUGGAGUAUCUCAUUUUGUCAUCUUGUUUAAUUAUGGUGUUGACUUGUUCAUAUACAUUGGUCAUUAGCAGUAUUGAACUUGAAACUAAAGAUAUCCUUUGCGUAGACUUAUGCAGUCAUUUAUGCAUGAAAUAGGCAUAUGAUUCUGUAGAAAAAUUAGACCUCAUUGCCUCAAUAAUCAUGUGGUUGUUUCCAAUAGUUUUUUAGUUUCCUUUGCUACUUUAGGUUGUUGUCUUUGUUUUAAUUAAAGUCUUAUCUAUUUGCUUUGGUCAUUAGCGAGAUUGCAAUAGAAGCUUUCAAGAAGUCCUUUUUAGAGAAUUAUGUGGUCAUCUGUGUAUGAAUAUUCAAGCACUGCUUUGAUGUGAUUAACAAAUUUACUCUUCUGAUUCUUUCUAGUGAACAUCUGAUGUAAUUUGACUUGGAAAUGAAAUUAACCAAAACUAUUGUUAUUCAUGUAAGUGAUACGGGAAAUGAGAGCAAUUAAAAUGCUCCGUAGGUUUUGUUUGUCUGAUCGAGCUCUUCAUUCUUAGGUGAGGUCAUAUGGCUGAUUCUGGGAUUUAUCUUAUUAGAUGGUCUUUGAUGCACACUGGUGAAUACGAAAGAUUAUGAGAUGUGCAUGCGCCCGAGUAAUUUAUAAAUCAAGCCUAAAUCAUUGAUCUAUAAAUAGCAAAGCAGUUUUACUUAAAACUGUCAUAUAUGUCCAGGAAUAUGCCUAUUCAUCUUUGUAUAACUACCGUCGUGAAUCUUGGAAAUGGCAAACCAAAUAUGAGUAUUAAGAGAAAAGAAAUAUAAAAUGUAUUAGAAUGGUAAACGAUAAAGAGAAAAGCUCAAGUUAGCCAAAGGGCCAGGCAUUGAAAAGGAAAAGGAACCAUAGAGAUUCUCCAAUUUUCAAAGUCAAGGGUGUUGGCUUAGAACGGGUCAAACAUAAACAUGUAUCUCCUAUGCUACUAUUAUGCGUUUAGAAGUGGUGACCCCUAACUAGCUUAUAACUUUGUUGAAAACAGUAUUGUAUUAACUUCAAGAGAAAUGAUGCUGGGUGAUCGUGUGGUGCAGUGUAGUUAUAUUUCCGUUUUCAAUAUAUUAACUUCAAUAGAAACGGUGCUGGUUGAUCAUGUGAUGCGGUGCAGUUAUACUCCUUGGUGUAACUUUUAAGGAAUUAUAGCGGUUAGGAUUUUACGUUGUUUCUUUUUUCCAUUCCCUUUUUUGUGUAAUUUCCUCAUCGAGAUAGAAGAGGGAAGGUUUUGAGAGAGGCUGGGGUCGGAUGUUUAAAAUCUAUAUCUGAUAUGUACAACAAAUUAUUUUAUUUUGCUGUUCUUUUGGGCUUGAUAAUGGCUUUAAAGGUCACCAGCUUUUAGCAGUUCUGCUCAUUUACCUUCCGGCAAUUGACAUGACUUAGAGUGGCAAAUGUUAUGCUUUUACCUCUUAUAACAUUGAAUUGUAUGCUUGUUGAAUCAUAUUGAAAUGCUAGAUACUUAACUGACUAAACUUGUUUGAAUGUAGGAACUACAGUUCCAUCAAACACCACUACUGCAAUUCUUGCUGCUCCCAAUUUGUCGAAUCCCAUGGCUACAGUUGUUGGUGCUGCUUCAAACCCAUUAACCUAUAAUUUGUAGUUGAAUUUGAAUUAUGAUCCAAAAUGCAACAUAUCAAUGAUGAAAUACGGCGAUGCAUCUGCUUGAAUUUCUCUGUCUAGUUGGCCUUUUAAGUCCCUUCUGAUUUGGUAUCCUUGGAAAAUUAUUUGUUUUGCACUCUUGGCAUUUUAAUAUCAUAUUAGAAUAACUAGUUUAUAACUUUGGAGUAAUGAUUCAUUGUAAUUUUACCCAUUUUUAUAUAUUUCUUUAAUUUUUUAGUUCAUCACAAGGUUCAUGCCAUAGGGGCAAAGCUAAAAUCAAAAAAUAAAAAAGAACCUCAUUGAGGAAGAAAAUUCAGAGAAUAAGGUAAGAAAACCAAAAAAUAUAGCAACUGAGAGAAUAUACAGAGCUAUGUUUCUCCGACUCUUCAUUUUGCUUGAAGUAUCCCUUUUUUAUACCCCUGUCAGAGUAUUCAUUUUUCUUAAAGUAUUUGGUUUCAACACCCAUGCCCGACGAUGAAAGAACCUCUUUGAGAAAGUUAUACAAUAGAUUUAUUAUAUAAAUUAUUUUAAAUUAUAUAAAUUCAUAUAAGAAAAUUUAUUAUCAAUAAUUUUAUGAAAUUAUAUCUUAUUAAAUUAUAUGUAAUAAUAAUUAUUUUAAAUUAUACAAAUUCAUAUAAGAUAAUUUAUUAGUUAUAAUUAUUUUAAAUUUUAUUAAAUCAUAUAUUUUAUUUAAAAUAUAUUUAAUAUUAAUCAUUUCAAAUUAUCUUUUAUAGUAUCAUAUAUUAUGAUUUGAGUAAAUUCAUAUAAGAAUAUUAAUUAUUAAGAAUUUUAUUAAAUUAUAUAUUUUAAUUAUAAUAUAUUUAAUAUAUUUAAUAAUUAUUAUGUUUAAAUAUGAUUAAAUUAUUUAUUUUUGAUAAUAAAUAAUCUUAUUAAAAUUUAAAUAGCAAUAACAAUAAUCAUUUACCAAAACAAAUUUAUGCUAAGGGUAUUCUGGUCAUUUUAGUUUUCUCCAUUAUGCUAUUACACCUCUAUUACAUUCAACCAAACACAGUUUUACUAUUACGCCUCUAUUCCAUUACAUUCAACCAAACAGUUGAUUUGCUAUUACACCUCUAUUCCAUUACACCUCUAAUCCAAUACACCUCUAAUCCAAUACACCUCUAAUCCAAUACAGCGAACCAAACGUGACGUUAAUGUAUUUAGGUAAUUUAGGUUGGGUUAAUUGGGCUAUCAGUUUGUAAUUUGGGCCUGGUGUUGGUUAAUGUAAUUAGGUAAGGGGUUAACAAUCAGAUUUGUGAUAUUGGGGCUUAGUGGUCUGAUGUAUUUUGGGUUUGGGUAAAUUAAUUGGGCCUACUGUUGUAAUAAACUGGACAUUUAUUUGGUUUAUUUUAUUUCAUUUUAAUUUGGUGUUUAUUUAUCUAUGAUUUUAGACCCAGGCUAAAAUUGGGUAUUACAUAUCGAAGCACCUAAGAAAGUUGAAAAUUAUAUGGAUUUAUACUUUCUAAAGCAUAUAUAAUUUAGCUACUCUUUGCUAUUUGCAUAAGGAAACAAACAUAUAGCAGGGAAGAGUGUGAUUUUUAUACUCUUGUAAUGAUAAAGGAGUUGCAAUAAUUUAUUUCAUUAGUUUACACUUAAUCUGGAAUUCAAUUUCAAUAAAAGAAUCCAGUUAACUUCCAAAGACUAGUCUUGCAUCUAGAAAUUAAGAGUUUGGAUACGUGUUACCUUGUGCAAAGUGUCGCUACUUUGUGCAAGUUUCUCGUAUGCUCAGUUCAGAUUAAUUCAAAUUAUAUGGAAAAUUAUAACUGUGUUUGACAAAAAUACAAAUUUGUAUGGCUUAUGUUACUCCGACAACAAUAUGAUAUUUCAUUGCUCGAACCCGACGAUUUGAUGAGGAAAUAAAGGGUUACAUUUAGUAAUAUCAGUAACCAAGUCAAUGGAAUGCUUUCACUGUCCCUGACAUGGUCAUGUAGCCAACUGCCACCUUGAAUAUUAUUUUUUGUUCACUUCUGCCCCAUCCAUUCAUUGGGAAGCCCUAAACAAAAUACAGCAAGAAUAGUUCAACAUGCGUAAAUUAAUGUUUUUAGUCAUAUUGACAAAGAAUUGACUAACUUGUGUAGCUUCCUCGAACAGAAGCUGCUUUAUCAUCUUCAUCUUGUGAGAACGGGUCAACAAAAUACAGCCACCUUCGACAAUUGAACUUUUAAUUUGUAAGUGAAUUCCUUAAAGAAACAUGCAACGGAAAUUUCAAGAACAAUAUUGUUUCAGUUCUUGUUUUCAGGUUUAACAUUUACAUACCUCGUUACUCUCACCAUUUCCUUCGACCCUUAUUUCCAGCGUUAUUGGGGAACAUCAUCGGCAACUACACCGCCAAUAGUGCCUACGAGCGUGACCUGAAUAGCAUCUUCAAGGAGAUCACCUCUACAACAAAAUCCAAUUAUCGGUUUUACAGCAACAAGGUCGGCGAAGUCAACGCCAUGGCACUUUGCAGAGCAGAUGUUAAGGUAGAUGUUUGCACUAGUUGUUUAUAGGAAAAUAUCUAAUUAUUAUUAAAAAAAAAGUUAACAAUUCAAAUCUAAUUAUUUUGAACUUGAAUUGACACAUAGAAUAGAUUUAAACUCAAAAUGACUCAAACAAAUCAUUUCAAAUUACUAAAGUCUAAAAAGAUCAAAACUCGAUCCAAAUUUAUAAUGACGAACUUAAAAGGCUAGUACUUCAACCAUAAAUAAUUCAAAAUCCUAAAUUAAUCCUAAUUGAAAUAAUCUAAAAAUUUUAAAACUAGAUUACUUGCAGGCUUGCUUAUUACAGUCCUUGAAUACAUGUCAUUUAUUGGUAACCAAGUCAACGGAGUGCUUUCAUUGACCCGAACAUUGUCAUGUAACUAACUGCCACAUUGAAUAAUUAUUUAUCAUUUACUUCCGUUCCAUCGAUUCAUUGCGGAUCCAGCUCUUCUUGUAGACCAAUUUACACAACAAGACUGCUUUAUCAUAUUCGUAUUGUUAGAACCAGUCAACAAAAUACAGCCACCUUCAACAAUUAAACGUUUAAUUUGUAAGUGAAUUCCCUAGAGAAAAUGGCAACGGAAAUUUCAAGAACAGUACUGUUUCACUUCUUGUUUUCAGGGUUUAACAUUUACAUUCCUCGUUACUUUUGCCAUUUCCUUCGACCCUUAUUUCCUGCAUUCUUGUGCAAACAACAUCGGCAACUACACCGCAAAUAGUGCUUACGAGCGUGACCUCAAUACCAUCUUCAAACAGAUCACCUCUAUUACGAAAUCGAAUUACGGAUUUUACAGCAAGAAAGUCGGCAAAGUCAACGCCAUGGCACUUUGCAGAGCAGAUGUUAAGCUAGAUGUUUGCACUGGUUGUUUAAAUGAAACUAUAUCAAGGGUCAAGCUGGAUUGUCCUAACAACAAAGAAGCUAUCGGAUGGUCUGCGGAUUGCACGUUACGGUACUCGAACACAAACCUCUCCGAGAAGUUGGAAAUUAAUCCUCAAACCUGUCUAUAUAAUACAGGAUCUACGGCUGAUGAGUACUUUCAGCUCAGACUCGGAGAGUUGUUGAGUGACCUGCGUAAUAAAGCAGCAGCAGGGGGUGCUCUUCUUAAAUACGCAGCAGGUAACUCGUCGCUCAGGGCUUCGGAAAGAUUAUACGCUCUAGUGCAGUGCACUCCUGAUUUGUCUGAAGGAGACUGCAAUCAUUGUCUUGAUAAGGCGGC